Molecule: ribosomal RNA, 492 nt
Filed under: uncultured bacterium
Lineage: Bacteria
Description: partial 16S ribosomal RNA
Rfam family: Bacterial small subunit ribosomal RNA
Source: RNAcentral
AGUGAACGCUGGCGGUAGGCCUAACACAUGCAAGUCGAACGGCAGCACAGUAAGAGCUUGCUCUUACGGGUGGCGAGUGGCGGACGGGUGAGGAAUACAUCGGAAUCUACUUUUUCGUGGGGGAUAACGUAGGGAAACUUACGCUAAUACCGCAUCCCACCCCCGCGCCCCCCCCCGCCCUCUCCCGCCCCCGCCCCCUCCCAUGCCCCGCUGUCGCCUCCGCCAGUUGGCGGGGUACAGGCCCACCAAGGCGACGACCCGUAGCUGGUCUGAGAGGAUGAUCAGCCACACUGGAACUGAGACACGGUCCAGACUCCGACGGGAGGCAGCAGUGGGGAAUAUUGGACAAUGGGCGCAAGCCUGAGCCAGGCAUACCGCGUGGGUGAAGAAGGCCUUCGGGUUGUAAAGCCCUUUUGUUGGGAAAGAAAGGCAGCAGGUUAAUACCCCGCUGUUCUGACGGUACCCAAAGAAUAAGCACCGGCUAACUUCGUG